UUCGGGUCGGGCUCGGGCAGAACGUGCACGGGCUCGGGCUGGGUCGGGUCGGAUUUUUUGGGCCCGAUCUAACCUCUACUACCCAUUAAUCAUAAAACAUAAAACAAACAAAAACAAUUACACAAAUAGCGCUAUUUAACAUUUUCCCACAUUAUGACAAAACAGGUGAUCACUAUUUUUUUACACAAACAUUAAUUAUUUUCUUUUUACAGGGAAACAGGAACCCCCGGACCCUCUCCCUCCCUGCAGGUGGAUCCGUCCUACCAGAAGAAGAAGCCCCGGUCCCCUUGCCUCCAUUUUGCCCCUCAGACCCUCCACACAGCAGGACUAAGAGUUUUGUGCAUGUCCUCAGAUGAGAGACAGUCCUCUUCUGAAACCUCAUUCUGCUCAGAAGAUUCAGCUUCAUCAGGCUCAACUAUAAUUCUGGAAUCUUCAAAGGCAGGAAGACGGAAAUUGAUUGAUGGACCAGUUGAUCCCGCUACAGCUAGAGAUAUGGUCAAAGUAGCACUUCACUCAAAGCCAGGAGGUGACCAGAUAUUUCAGGAGUAUCACAAAACAAGUUGCCUUUCUGAUGGCACUAGAAGAAAGAUUGUCAACAUACUUGUAGCAGAUAUGGUGGCAGGCCAACAAAAGAUUUUUACUUCAUUUUACAUUGGUCAACACUUUUAUUAAUUUUAUUUAAUUAAUUAUCAUUUUUUUUUUUCAAUUAAGGAGGAUCCCACCUUUAAAUGUCCGCAUUUCAUAUGCCCUUGGGAUAAUAACACUUUUCCCUCAUUUGAAGGAUUCAGAUUCAGUAAAUGGCUACGUAAGUAUAUUAGUGAACAAAUAUGCACGUGUGGUUAGUACAUGGUGAAGUCCUUUCAAGCUUUAAAAAAAAAAAAAACUUUAUUUAACAGGAGCACUUCUAUGAUCCUCAAAGUGGGUCUGGUUACCUGGCCUGGAGACUGAAAACAGUUCAGCGCAACUCAGCAAGUGAGGGGAAGAGUGGAAGUACAUCCAGUUACAAAGGAGGCCCGAAGACCAAUAGUGAGAUACCUGUGUGUGGAGAGCAGCUAUCUGGUAAUGAAUGCAAAGAGGCCAUGUCCCUGAUGAACCACUCAGCUGACAAAACACUGGUUAAGGAGA
This 1125-nucleotide long non-coding RNA is filed under the name Astyanax mexicanus (Mexican tetra). RNAcentral's name for it is "lncRNA (ENSAMXG00005016396.1)". Lineage: Eukaryota; Metazoa; Chordata; Actinopteri; Characiformes; Acestrorhamphidae. The record is from RNAcentral.